This 91-nucleotide ribosomal RNA is filed under the name Clostridioides difficile. Its description in RNAcentral is "partial 16S ribosomal RNA". It matches the Rfam family "Bacterial small subunit ribosomal RNA", at positions 1443 to 1533 of the family's 1533-position model. RNAcentral also lists the same sequence under 1 other name. Lineage: Bacteria; Bacillati; Bacillota; Clostridia; Peptostreptococcales; Peptostreptococcaceae. The record is from RNAcentral.
UUGGAAGAAGUCGUCGAAGGUGGAAUCAAUAACUGGGGUGAAGUCGUAACAAGGUAGCCGUAUCGGAAGGUGCGGCUGGAUCACCUCCUUU